Molecule: ribosomal RNA, 375 nt
Filed under: uncultured eukaryote
Lineage: Eukaryota
Description: partial 18S ribosomal RNA
Rfam family: Eukaryotic small subunit ribosomal RNA
Source: RNAcentral
CAAUAGCGUAUAUUUAAGUUGUUACAGUUAAAAAGCUCGUAGUUGGAUUUCGGUUAAGAGCGACCGGUCCGCCGUUUGGUGUGCACUGGUUGGUUUUAACUUCCUGUAGAGGACGUGCUCUGGGUUUAACGACCUGGACUCGGAGUCUACGUGGUUACUUUGAAAAAAUUAGAGUGUUCAAAGCGGGCUUACGCUUGAAUAUUUCAGCAUGGAAUAACACUAUAGGACUCCUGUCCUAUUUCGUUGGUCUCGGGACGGGAGUAAUGAUUAAGAGGAACAGUUGGGGGCAUUCGUAUUUCAUUGUCAGAGGUGAAAUUCUUGGAUUUAUGAAAGACGAACUUCUGCGAAAGCAUUUGCCAAGGAUGUUUUCAUUAA